AGUUGUGUGGGCACCACAUGGAAUUUGUGGAUGACUUUCCACUUCAAAUUUUAUCACCUUUGGUCCCAAAUUUUCCUAAUUGUUCCAUACCAAUAAAUUCAUGCACAACUUAUAUCUCAAAAUAAAUUCGAAGGUCAAGAAUCCCGACUUUGUAUCCCAAAAUAAUUUUGUCCUUAGCUUAUCAUAAAUAAAUCUGAAUUAUUCCACUGUACAAAAAUACGGGUUCUAACAAUAUCCCCAUAUUACGGGUCAAACCUUAACCCGAAAGUACGGGGUGUUACAAAGAAGCAUGAGUUUGGGAUGUUCAUGUGUUAUGUCGCGUAAGGAACAAGAUCUUUCUUUGUAUACAAGAGAGUGAUUAUAGUACAUUGAAUACAAUGACGCUGCUGCAAGCCAAGCUUCAUCAAAGCUUUCCCACCCAAAGGCAAGCUCAGGAGCUUGAGGAUCUUCAAGGCACAUUUGUGAUGUUGGGAGACAUAGAGUAAACUUUGGAGUCAUUUGAGGGAUUUAACCUACUUGAGGACAAAGAAGUCCAAAUAUUGAAAGAGGAUAUGGAAGAAAGUGGCUAGAAUCACAACUUUGUAAUAAUGUCUAGUUUCGGCCAAUUAGUGGCUAUUUUGGCCAAGUGCCUCAUUUUAGGUUCAAUUUUGCAAUUAGGCUAUAAAUAGUUAGCUUAAGUCAUUUUGACAUUUAGGUUUUUAGAAUAUUUUGUUCUCUUUGAGAGACUUGAGAACCUGGUGAAGCUUUUGUUGAUUCCUUUAUUUAGAAAUGUGGGUUGCAAGGUGAAUACAAUUCCCUUGAGGUCUACUUUAGAGAUUAGGUGCUUUUUAGAUUCCUUUAAUUGAAGGUUCUGAUUUUAAUAUAACAUUGGUUUUCAAUUAA
Lycium barbarum (goji berry) is the source of this 882-nucleotide long non-coding RNA. RefSeq lists it as uncharacterized. The record is from RefSeq and is a predicted model, not a curated record. NCBI's taxonomy places the organism in Eukaryota, Viridiplantae, Streptophyta, Magnoliopsida, Solanales, Solanaceae. The transcript has 2 exons.